Molecule: long non-coding RNA, 832 nt
Organism: Pangasianodon hypophthalmus (striped catfish)
Lineage: Eukaryota; Metazoa; Chordata; Actinopteri; Siluriformes; Pangasiidae
Exons: 3
Source: RefSeq, a predicted model, not a curated record
CUUCUUGCUUAUUCAGUGCACGGCUUACGGUUGCACAGCUUGUGCUAAAUCUGACAUCGUCAGCAUACAAAAAGAGAUGGUCUUUAAGAACUGAUUAAACCCUCUCAAGUCUAGGUUAUCUGGUGAUUGCCUCACGUACAAAAGAAUUAUACAAAAACUGCAGUCGCUUCUUCUGAAAAAGGAAAAAAAUCAUCAGAAUGGUCAAUGCACAGCAAAAUCUCAAGCGAGGACAGCCUCUACAUGAAGAGAUAUGUUUAUCAGAAAGGUAGCCUGUGCAGCAGAGCACUUCAUCCCAGCCCUCUCAGGAGCAGAUUUUAGGGAAUAGACAGCGCAGGCCAUCUGCUAUGUCCAGUGUACAUGGCUGUACUUGAUGCCAUAUGAGUUUGCAGAGGAGCAGAAGAGUGGGAUGUUUUUGACAGUGUGGUGUUAGAGCCACAAUUUUCUGGCAUGAAGCUGAAACACAGCUACAGGAACUGGCACACACUUGCCUUGCCCCUUGGCCUCGAACACAUCCAGCGCCAGUUCCUCUCUACGUUUCGAUACAAAUUCAGAGGCCCCCUAGGACACAAAGUACAAAAGUGGAAACUUGAUUGAUGAACUGUAUGUAUGCAUAAUCAGUGAAACUGGCAAUUACAAGUUUAUAAAAAAAUGUAAGUUUAUAAGAAAAUUUCCCUUUUUAAUGUAAUAGUAAAACAUAUGAGUAAAAUUCUGUUUUUAGUAUAAAGGCAAUGAGUAAUAUUCUGCAGGUUAAGUGAUCAAUAAUAGGUGAAACCAUUCUUAUGGAAUGUAAUCCUGAACAUAGUGUCUACACGCUGUCUCUGUGUACCUGAAG